AGUCGCGGUAAUACGUAGAAGACUAGUGUUAUUCAUCUUUAAUAGGUUUAAAGGGUACCUAGACGGUAAAUCAAGCCUUCAAGGGGACUAGUUUACUAGAGUUACUUGUGAGGGGGUAUUAAAGUACUGCUGGUGUAGAGAUGAAAUUCUGUGAUACCUCUUUUCGUAAGAAAAAUAAUGGCACAGGUAUAGGCGAAAGCAUCCCCUUAUGUGAUAACUGACGUUGAAGGACGAAGGCUUUGUGUAGCGAACAGGAUUAGAUACCCCAGUAGUCAAAGCAGAAAAUGAUGAAUGUCAUAGAUUAGACAUAUAAUAGUUUAUUCUAUAAAUGAAAGUGUAAGCAUUCCACCUCAAGAGUAAUUUGGCAACAUUGGAACUGAAAUCAUUAGACCGUUUCUGAAACCAGUAGUGAAGUAUGUUGUUUAAUUUGAUAAUCCACAAAAAACCUUACCACAAUUUGAAUAUUUAUAUUAUUUUUCUCAUCUAUUAUAUUUUAUAAAAAUAAUACAUUUACAAGCGUUGCACGGCUGUCUUCAGUUAAUGUCGUGAGACUUUGGUUAGUUCCAUUAAAUUAACGUAAACCCUCACUUUAUUUUUAUAUAAAGUAGUUCCCCACUAGAUUGGAUAAGAUAACAGGGACUAAGACAAGUCAUCAUGGCCUAAAUAUUGUGGGCUAUA
Molecule: ribosomal RNA, 678 nt
Filed under: Lecanora pulicaris
Lineage: Eukaryota; Fungi; Ascomycota; Lecanoromycetes; Lecanorales; Lecanoraceae
Description: SSU rRNA
Rfam family: Bacterial small subunit ribosomal RNA
Source: RNAcentral